This 252-nucleotide ribosomal RNA is filed under the name uncultured bacterium. RNAcentral describes it as "partial 16S ribosomal RNA". It matches the Rfam family "Bacterial small subunit ribosomal RNA", at positions 524 to 776 of the family's 1533-position model. The record is from RNAcentral.
UACGGAGGAUGCGAGCGUUAUCCGGAUUUAUUGGGUUUAAAGGGUGCGUAGGCGGGAUGCCAAGUCAGCGGUAAAAAUGCGGUGCUCAACGCCGUCGAGCCGUUGAAACUGGCGUUCUUGAGUGGGCGAGAAGUAUGCGGAAUGCGUGGUGUAGCGGUGAAAUGCAUAGAUAUCACGCAGAACUCCGAUUGCGAAGGCAGCAUACCGGCGCCCUACCGACGCUGAGGCACGAAAGCGUGGGUAUCGAACAGG